Molecule: long non-coding RNA, 424 nt
Filed under: Prunus dulcis (almond)
Lineage: Eukaryota; Viridiplantae; Streptophyta; Magnoliopsida; Rosales; Rosaceae
Description: sRNA ncRNA
Source: RNAcentral
GCCCAUUAGGGUUUUUUAUGCGAAGCCACAGAAAGCACUGGUAUCCAAGCGUGGUACAGCAUGAGCAAAUUGGAUUUGGAAGCAGGCAGGCAGGCAGGCAGGCAAGGCAGUCUACAGUGACUUUUAUAAAAGGCUUUUUCACCGCACGUGGUGGGCUGGGCCAACAUGUCGGGCGUUCACACGAGUGCAAGCUCCUCCUCGGUCCUCACAGAUCCCAAUGAGAUCCGCUGUCACACGCCACCACACACAAAAUAAAUUAAUUAUAAUAUCAACUCAUCUGCCCCCUACUGCCUAGCAGUAAAAUCAACACCACUCAUGAUCUGACACCUGUACUGCUUUGUUACGUGUGGCUCUGUCCGCUUUGGUGGGUGAGAGUACGAAAUUGACCUUGGAAGUUGUAUGGGGUGUCUUCUUUUGAGAUGGG